UGGGUUAAGUCCCGCAACGAGCGCAACCCUUGCCAUUAGUUGCUACGAAAGGGCACUCUAAUGGGACUGCCGGUGACAAACCGGAGGAAGGUGGGGAUGACGUCAAGUCCUCAUGGCCCUUAUAGGUGGGGCUACACACGUCAUACAAUGGCUGGUACAAAGGGUUGCCAACCCGCGAGGGGGAGCUAAUCCCAUAAAGCCAGUCGUAGUCCGGAUCGCAGUCUGCAACUCGACUGCGUGAAGUCGGAAUCGCUAGUAAUCGUGGAUCAGCAUGUCACGGUGAAUACGUUCCCGGGUCUU
RNAcentral lists this ribosomal RNA (300 nucleotides) under uncultured bacterium. RNAcentral describes it as "bacterial SSU rRNA". It matches the Rfam family "Bacterial small subunit ribosomal RNA", at positions 1076 to 1382 of the family's 1533-position model. The record is from RNAcentral.